UUUCCGUAGGUGAACCAGCGGAAGGAUCAUUACCGAGUUGGGACCCUCUGGGUCCAACCUCCCACCCGCGUUUAUUUACCUUGUUGCUUCGGCGAGCCUGCCUUUUGGCUGCCGGGGCACGUCAGUCCCCGGGUCCGUGCUCGCCGGAGACACCUUAGAUCUCUGUCUGAAGAUUGUAGUCUGAGAUUAAUUCUAAAUUAUUUAAAACUUUCAACAACGGAUCUCUUGGUUCCG
RNAcentral lists this unclassified non-coding RNA (234 nucleotides) under plant metagenome. RNAcentral describes it as "partial contains small subunit ribosomal RNA, internal transcribed spacer 1, and 5.8S ribosomal RNA". The record is from RNAcentral.